GACGAACGCUGGCGGCGUGCUUAACACAUGCAAGUCGAACGCUGAAGACCUGGCUUUUGUUGGGUUGGAUGAGUGGCGAACGGGUGAGUAACACGUGAGUAACCUGCCCUCUUCUUUGGGAUAACGCCCGGAAACGGGUGCUAAUACUGGAUAUUCACUGAUCUUCGCAUGGGGGUUGGUGGAAAGGUUUGUUCUGGUGGGGGAUGGGCUCGCGGCCUAUCAGCUUGUUGGUGGGGUGAUGGCCUACCAAGGCUUUGACGGGUAGCCGGCCUGAGAGGGUGACCGGUGACAUUGGGACUGAGAUACGGCCCAGACUCCUACGGGAGGCAGCAGUGGGGAAUAUUGCACAAUGGGCGAAAGCCUGAUGCAGCGGCGCCGCGUGAGGGAUGGAGGCCUUCGGGUUGUAAACCUCUUUCGCUCAUGGUCAAGCCGCAACUGUGGGUUGUGGUGAGGGUAGUGGGUAAAGAAGCGCCGGCUAACUACGUG
Molecule: ribosomal RNA, 486 nt
Filed under: uncultured bacterium
Lineage: Bacteria
Description: partial 16S ribosomal RNA
Rfam family: Bacterial small subunit ribosomal RNA
Source: RNAcentral